Amphibalanus amphitrite is the source of this 709-nucleotide long non-coding RNA. RefSeq lists it as uncharacterized. The record is from RefSeq and is a predicted model, not a curated record. The transcript has 4 exons. Lineage: Eukaryota; Metazoa; Arthropoda; Thecostraca; Balanomorpha; Balanidae.
AUACAUUCGAGCGGCUCGGUCAACUUUAACUUGAGCUUUAACCGAUAACCUAACGUAGCGUUCUCAUUCGGUAUGUUUUGUCUCUGCUUGAUAUGUCGCGAUAAUAUAUAAUAUCUGUUUCUAGCCUUAUCUUCCCCGUUCCGAGAUAACGACCGAUAACUAAACAGGUCAUUCCAGCGGAACUUGAUGGUGUUCUCGAUGAUCUGCAGCCCGAGGUAUCGGACCAUAUUCGGCCGGUGACUGGCAGACAGAUAGACCCCGCACUGCAGCGCCAUCGGCGACUCUUUCAGGCGUUCGCACAACUCGUAGGUGCGCUGUCGCUCGCCAGGUGGCAGUGUCGGCGACAUGAGCGCCUCCACGGCGGCGGCGGCCUCCGCAGACAUCGCCUCCACCUCCGGCAUGAAAUUCAUCUGCAAUCGGAGAACCAAUGGUCAAGGCAGAUGCAGAGCUUGGAGUCUUUAACCAGCAUGCCCAUGAGUGAGUAAUUGAGAGGAUAAGUGCAUCAGAAGAAAUUGAAACGGAGGGAAAAGGCGGUGCGAUCCUGAACUCCACUCCAGCUCCAGCCUCACUGCCGACCGACCACGCGUGCCACCCGAGCGGCCAGCCGCGGCGCGGUUCAAACACGUGUGCCCCCGGUGGCCGACGUCGUCGGCGGCGCUGCAGCGCCGUACGAGAAUCAAAUAAUGGGAUAUAAACGCGCCGGCGCCGG